Molecule: ribosomal RNA, 252 nt
Filed under: uncultured bacterium
Lineage: Bacteria
Description: partial 16S ribosomal RNA
Rfam family: Bacterial small subunit ribosomal RNA
Source: RNAcentral
CGGACGGGUGAGUAAUGUCUGGGAAACUGCCUGAUGGAGGGGGAUAACUACUGGAAACGGUAGCUAAUACCGCAUAACGUCGCAAGACCAAAGAGGGGGACCUUCGGGCCUCUUGCCAUCAGAUGUGCCCAGAUGGGAUUAGCUAGUAGGUGGGGUAACGGCUCACCUAGGCGACGAUCCCUAGCUGGUCUGAGAGGAUGACCAGCCACACUGGAACUGAGACACGGCCAGACUCCUACGGGAGGCAGCAUG